AGUCUGAACCAGCCAUGUCGCGUGCAGGAAGACGGCCCUACGGGUUGUAAACUGCUUUUGUACGGGAAUAAAAAUCAUUACGGGUAAUGAGUUGAAUGUACCGUACGAAUAAGCAUCGGCUAACUCCGUGCCAGCAGCCGCGGUAAUACGGAGGAUGCGAGCGUUAUCCGGACUUAUUGGGUUUAAAGGGUGCGUAGGCGGAAUGGUAAGUCAGCGGUGAAAUACUACAGCUCAACUGUAGGGAUGCCGAUGAUACUGUCAUUCUUGAGUAUACUUGAGGCAUGCGGAAUGAGUAGUGUAGCGGUGAAAUGCAUAGAUAUUACUCAGAACACCGAUCGCGAAGGCAGCAUGCUAAGGUAAUACUGACGCUGAGGCACGAAAGCGUGGGUAUCAAACAGGAUUAGAUACCCUGGUAGUCCACGCCGUAAACGAUGAUUACUGGUUGUUUGUCCGGUUAAGGAUAAGCGACUGAGCGAAAGCAUUAAGUAAUCCACCUGG
RNAcentral lists this ribosomal RNA (498 nucleotides) under uncultured Thermophagus sp. RNAcentral describes it as "bacterial SSU rRNA". It matches the Rfam family "Bacterial small subunit ribosomal RNA", at positions 380 to 876 of the family's 1533-position model. The record is from RNAcentral. Lineage: Bacteria; Pseudomonadati; Bacteroidota; Bacteroidia; Marinilabiliales; Marinilabiliaceae.